RNAcentral lists this ribosomal RNA (253 nucleotides) under uncultured bacterium. Its description in RNAcentral is "partial 16S ribosomal RNA". It matches the Rfam family "Bacterial small subunit ribosomal RNA", at positions 524 to 776 of the family's 1533-position model. The record is from RNAcentral.
UACGUAGGGCGCAAGCGUUGUCCGGAAUUAUUGGGCGUAAAGAGCGCGCAGGCGGUCGUUCAAGUCGAGUGUGAAAGCCCCCGGCUCAACUGGGGAGGGUCAUUCGAUACUGAUCGACUCGAAGGCAGGAGAGGGAAGCGGAAUUCCCGGUGUAGUGGUGAAAUGCGUAGAUAUCGGGAGGAACACCAGUGGCGAAGGCGGCUUCCUGGCCUGUUCUUGACGCUGAGGCGCGAAAGCUAGGGGAGCAAACGGG